This 243-nucleotide ribosomal RNA is filed under the name uncultured Streptococcus sp. Its description in RNAcentral is "partial 16S ribosomal RNA". It matches the Rfam family "Bacterial small subunit ribosomal RNA", at positions 101 to 339 of the family's 1533-position model. The record is from RNAcentral. Lineage: Bacteria; Bacillati; Bacillota; Bacilli; Lactobacillales; Streptococcaceae.
AACGGGUGAGUAACGCGUAGGUAACCUGCCUGGUAGCGGGGGAUAACUAUUGGAAACGAUAGCUAAUACCGCAUGACAACAGUUAUUGCAUGAUAGCUGCUUGAAAGGUGCAAUUGCACCACUACCAGAUGGACCUGCGUUGUAUUAGCUAGUUGGUGAGGUAACGGCUCACCAAGGCAACGAUACAUAGCCGACCUGAGAGGGUGAUCGGCCACACUGGGACUGAGACACGGCCCAGACUCC